RNAcentral lists this ribosomal RNA (464 nucleotides) under Vreelandella stevensii. RNAcentral describes it as "partial 16S ribosomal RNA". It matches the Rfam family "Bacterial small subunit ribosomal RNA", at positions 338 to 795 of the family's 1533-position model. The record is from RNAcentral. Lineage: Bacteria; Pseudomonadati; Pseudomonadota; Gammaproteobacteria; Oceanospirillales; Halomonadaceae.
CCUACGGGCGGCUGCAGUGGGGAAUAUUGGACAAUGGGCGAAAGCCUGAUCCAGCCAUGCCGCGUGUGUGAAGAAGGCCUUCGGGUUGUAAAGCACUUUCAGUGGGGAAGAAAGCCUUGGGGCUAAUACCCUCGAGGAAGGACAUCACCCACAGAAGAAGCACCGGCUAACUCCGUGCCAGCAGCCGCGGUAAUACGGAGGGUGCGAGCGUUAAUCGGAAUUACUGGGCGUAAAGCGCGCGUAGGCGGUCUGAUAAGCCGGUUGUGAAAGCCCCGGGCUCAACCUGGGAACGGCAUCCGGAACUGUCAGGCUAGAGUGCAGGAGAGGAAGGUAGAAUUCCCGGUGUAGCGGUGAAAUGCGUAGAGAUCGGGAGGAAUACCAGUGGCGAAGGCGGCCUUCUGGACUGACACUGACGCUGAGGUGCGAAAGCGUGGGUAGCAAACAGGAUUAGAUACCCCAGAGUC